Molecule: small RNA, 853 nt
Filed under: Pan troglodytes (chimpanzee)
Lineage: Eukaryota; Metazoa; Chordata; Mammalia; Primates; Hominidae
Description: retained intron
Source: RNAcentral
GAAGCGAACCAAGUCCUACAAUGAUAUGCAAAAUGCUGGCAUAGUCCAUGCGGAGAAUGAGGAGGAGGAUGACGUUCCUGAAAUGAACAGCAGCUUUACAGCCGAUUCUGGUGAACAAGACGAGCACACUCUCCAAGAAACAGCAUUACCACCUGUGAAUAGUAGCAUCAUCGCUGCUCCCAUCACGGACCCUUCUCAGAAGUUCCCUCAAUACCUACCUCUUUCUGCAGAGGAUAAUUUAGGUCCUCUACCUGAAAACUGGGAGAUGGCCUAUACUGAAAAUGGAGAAGUCUAUUUUAUAGAGUAAAGUAUACCAUUAUUUCUACCUAAAUCUCUCUCUCUUUCUUUUCCCUUCCUUCCCUCUGUCUAGCAGUUGCCAAUGUAAAUUACAUUUAAGGGAUUGAUCACCCACUGAUGGUAUUUUUUAAUAAGGUUUAAUAAGUUUUGCAUAAAAAGGUAAUUAAUUAUUAUCUGCUUAUCGAUUCUCAACAGUUUGAGGAAGCAUAAGGUUAAUCAUUUCCCUAAAGGUUUAGACAACUAAACUAUGGUAUAUAGAAAUUAUAACAUAAUAUUCAAAGAGCAUAUUUAACCAUUAAAAAUAAAUAUAUUUUUAUAUAUUUAAAUAUUUUAAUAAAUAUUUAAAUAUAUUUAUAAAUAUUUAAAUAUAUUUAAAUAUUUUAAUAUAUUUAAAAAUAAAUAUAUUAAAAAUAAAUAUAUUGCUUUUUUUUUCUUAAUUGAACUACAGUGUCCUUAUUGUUUUAAGACUUCUUCAUAUAUUCUGGAUAUAAUUCCUUUAUCAUAUAUGUGAUUUGUAUGCAUUUUCUCUAAGUCUGGCUUUUCUGUUCAUUGUCUC